AAACCAGCACCUCAAGUGGUCAGGAGGAUUAUUGGGCCUAAAGCAUCCGUAGCCUGUUCUGUAAGUUUUCGGUUAAAUCCAUUAGCUCAACUAAUGGGCCGCCGAAAAUACUGUAGAACUAGGGAGUGGGAGUGGUAGACGGUAUUCGGUAGGAAGGGGUAAAAUCCUUUGAUCUAUUGAGGACCACCUGUGGCGAAGGCGGUCUACCAGAACACGUUCGACGGUGAGGGAUGAAAGCUGGGGGAGCAAACCGGAUUAGAAACCCCAGUAGUCC
RNAcentral lists this ribosomal RNA (274 nucleotides) under uncultured bacterium. Its description in RNAcentral is "partial 16S ribosomal RNA". It matches the Rfam family "Archaeal small subunit ribosomal RNA", at positions 473 to 747 of the family's 1478-position model. The record is from RNAcentral.